RNAcentral lists this ribosomal RNA (414 nucleotides) under uncultured microorganism. Its description in RNAcentral is "bacterial SSU rRNA". It matches the Rfam family "Archaeal small subunit ribosomal RNA", at positions 459 to 872 of the family's 1478-position model. The record is from RNAcentral.
CAGCCGCCGCGGUAAUACCGGCGGCCCGAGUGGCGGUCACUAUUAUUGGGCUUAAAGCGUCCGUAGCCGGGUUGGGAAGUCCUCCGGGAAAUCUGGCCGCUUAACGGUCAGAAUGCCGGAGGAUACUCCCAGCCUAGGGGGCGGGGGAGGCCGAGGGGAUUCCCGGAGUAGGGGUGAAAUCCUAUAAUCCCGGGAGGACCACCUGUGGCGAAGGCGCUCGGCUGGAACGCGUCCGACGGUGAGGGACGAAGGCCAGGGGAGCAAACCGGAUUAGAUACCCGGGUAGUCCUGGCUGUAAACGAUGCGGACUUUGUGUCGGACAAGCUAUGAGCUUGUCCGGUGCCGGAGGGAAACCGUUAAGUCCGCCGCCUGGGGAGUACGGCCGCAAGGCUGAAACUUAAAGGAAUUGGCGGG